RNAcentral lists this ribosomal RNA (355 nucleotides) under uncultured bacterium. Its description in RNAcentral is "bacterial SSU rRNA". It matches the Rfam family "Bacterial small subunit ribosomal RNA", at positions 917 to 1269 of the family's 1533-position model. The record is from RNAcentral.
GGACCCGCACAAGUAGUGGAGCAUGUGGUUUAAUUCGAAGAUACGCGCAGAACCUUACCAACACUUGACAUGUUCGUCGCGACUCUAAGAGAUUAGAGUUUUCGGUUCGGCCGGACGAAACACAGGUGCUGCAUGGCUGUCGUCAGCUCGUGUCGUGAGAUGUUGGGUUAAGUCCCGCAACGAGCGCAACCUCACUUUUAGUUGCCAUCAUUAAGUUGGGCACUCUGAAAAGAACUGCCAGUGAUAAGCUGGAGGAAGGUGGGGAUGACGUCAAGUCCUCAUGGCCCUUACGUGUUGGGCUACACACGUGCUACAAUGGCUAGGACAGACGGCAGCAAACCCGCGAGGGGGAGCC